AGGGUUACUCUUGUCAGGGUUCAGUUUACAUGGACGUGGUGUCCCAAGGUGUUCUGGAGCAGUGAAUACAUGUCAAUCAGUGCUUCUAAGGAAAGCAUUGAUUGGAAUAGACUCAGGUCUAUAGGCUGUGAUGUCCAAGAUGCUUCAUUCUAUGUGUGGUGAAGGACUUCCCUAAAUCCACUGGGUGGUGAUGGAGAGAUGAUAUAAGGAGAGGUUAAUUGUGAAGAUGGAAGAAGAGGAACGGGAAUAGCAGGAGAGCCCCAGGACACAGACACCAUAGUGGGAGAACCACAAGGCGGAGCCUCUGCAACACUUGAUUUCACACUCUAGUGAAGAGAAGCAAGUACUUCAAUCUGCUUCAUUGCCCCAUCUUGCCAGAGCAUUAAAUGCUUCACAGAAUGAAAACAGAAAAACCACAAAUUGGCAUUUUUAGAAACCACUGAAGUGAACUUUGCCUCCCGUAGAGAUGUGGAGAGAACUGGGAAGGAUUCACUGAUUAAACGGACCUGUAGUCAGAUGUUUGAAGCCGCUUCUACUCUCAGCUUGCCUGGGAAGAUGAAGAAAGCAAGAAACAGCUACCUAGUACUCAACUCCCACGGAGAACACACAAAGGAAAAGCUUGUCAUGUGGAUUUCUCCUCCAUCAAAAGAAACGUUUUCUGUCAUCCAAGGAGUAAAACUGAACCUUGUCUUUUUUCCCUUUGCAAAAUAAACUGACUUGUUAGUCUGCAACCAUGCAAUU
This is a long non-coding RNA of Mus musculus (house mouse), 741 nucleotides long. RefSeq annotates it as RIKEN cDNA 4930425K10 gene. The transcript has 4 exons. NCBI's taxonomy places the organism in Eukaryota, Metazoa, Chordata, Mammalia, Rodentia, Muridae. The record is from RefSeq and is marked validated.